Molecule: transfer RNA, 85 nt
Filed under: Ixodes scapularis (black-legged tick)
Lineage: Eukaryota; Metazoa; Arthropoda; Arachnida; Ixodida; Ixodidae
Rfam family: tRNA
About the family: Transfer RNA (tRNA) molecules are approximately 80 nucleotides in length.
Source: Rfam by way of RNAcentral
GCAGUCGUGGGCCGAGUGGUUAAGGCGACAGACUAGAAAUCCAUUUGGGUCUCCCCCGCACAGGUUUCGAAUCCUGUCGACUGCG